UACGAGGGGGGCAAGCGUUGUUCGGAAUCACUGGGCGUAAAGGGUGCGUAGGCGGGUUUUUAAGUCAGGGGUGAAAUCCUGGAGCUCAACUCCAGAACUGCCUUUGAUACUGGCGAUCUUGAGUUCGGGAGAGGUGAGUGGAACUGCGAGUGUAGAGGUGAAAUUCGUAGAUAUUCGCAAGAACACCAGUGGCGAAGGCGGCUCACUGGCCCGAUACUGACGCUGAGGCACGAAAGCGUGGGGAGCAAACAGG
RNAcentral lists this ribosomal RNA (253 nucleotides) under uncultured bacterium. Its description in RNAcentral is "partial 16S ribosomal RNA". It matches the Rfam family "Bacterial small subunit ribosomal RNA", at positions 524 to 776 of the family's 1533-position model. The record is from RNAcentral.